AGCCAAUGGCAACCAGGACAACACAAGCCUUUGUACUGCAUUUUCAAGAGACUGAACCUCUGCCUGCUGUUGACCACUCCUAUGCAUUGCCUACAUCUCCCAUGGGUCUAGAGGCCAGACUCAGUGAAGCCUUGGCUAGGGUGGAGAGUCUGGAGUGAGAGAUGAGGAACAUGAAGGACUGAGAACAGAGAGCUAAGAACACGGUGCAUGGUCUUCUGGAGGAUCUGAGGGGGAAGAAAUGCAAAAAUUAAGAACUGAAAGAGGGGUUUGAUAACUACUCAGACAUGUCAAAACAGGGCCAAGAGCACACAAAAGACCAGAGGGAGUUUGCCCUCACUCUCUACCUACAUGGUCCAAAAGCAUAUAACUAUCUCCAUCUCAA
Molecule: long non-coding RNA, 382 nt
Organism: Thunnus maccoyii (southern bluefin tuna)
Lineage: Eukaryota; Metazoa; Chordata; Actinopteri; Scombriformes; Scombridae
Exons: 3
Source: RefSeq, a predicted model, not a curated record